CUCUAGGUAGCCAAGUUGGUUUAAGGCGCAAGACUGUAAAUCUUGAGAUCGGGCGUUCGAAUCGCCCCCUGGAGA
Molecule: transfer RNA, 75 nt
Filed under: Huiozyma naganishii CBS 8797
Lineage: Eukaryota; Fungi; Ascomycota; Saccharomycetes; Saccharomycetales; Saccharomycetaceae
Description: tRNA-Tyr (GTA) (tRNA-Tyr-GTA-1-1, tRNA-Tyr-GTA-1-2)
Rfam family: tRNA
About the family: Transfer RNA (tRNA) molecules are approximately 80 nucleotides in length. Their secondary structure includes four short double-helical elements and three loops (D, anti-codon, and T loops).
Source: RNAcentral